RNAcentral lists this ribosomal RNA (253 nucleotides) under uncultured bacterium. RNAcentral's name for it is "partial 16S ribosomal RNA". It matches the Rfam family "Bacterial small subunit ribosomal RNA", at positions 524 to 776 of the family's 1533-position model. The record is from RNAcentral.
UACAGAGGUCUCAAGCGUUGUUCGGAAUCACUGGGCGUAAAGCGUGCGUAGGCUGUUUCGUAAGUCGUGUGUGAAAGGCGCGGGCUCAACCCGCGGACGGCACAUGAUACUGCGAGACUAGAGUAAUGGAGGGGGAACCGGAAUUCUCGGUGUAGCAGUGAAAUGCGUAGAUAUCGAGAGGAACACUCGUGGCGAAGGCGGGUUCCUGGACAUUAACUGACGCUGAGGCGCGAAGGCCAGGGGAGCGAAAGGG